Molecule: long non-coding RNA, 713 nt
Organism: Melanotaenia boesemani (Boeseman's rainbowfish)
Lineage: Eukaryota; Metazoa; Chordata; Actinopteri; Atheriniformes; Melanotaeniidae
Exons: 3
Source: RefSeq, a predicted model, not a curated record
AGAGGAAGCAAGACUUUACGGAACUAAGAGACUCCUCCUCCUCCUGCCAGUGACCUGGGUUCCUCACAGUAGAAGAAAAGCUCUUCCUCUGCUGUGAGUCUUUCUCUUCACCAUCGAUCCUGAUCAUCAAUACUGUCAUCAAAACUCCCAAAGCAUCUGGGUGUGAAACUGCACUGGCCAGGAGAAGACUGGACCUGCAGCACAUUUAAGGACCAGUUCCAUGUUCAUGCCUGCAUGACACCAGCUCUUAAAAAGAGUAACCUGUGGUGACUCUUGAGUCAGAGACCAGGCAUGUUGCUGCAGGGAAACGUUGCUGAGGACCAGUCAACGUUUCUGGACUAACUUCCUCUCAUCUGUGUAGCAAAAGGCCUUCUCAGUAAGACUCAACCUUCCUGUGUGCAGCAGAGACUGAACUGGUCCAUGGAGGCAGCAGAUGAUCAGCCUCUGGAAAAGGAAACCAUCACAUGGUGAUCACACCGUACAUCUCCACUGUGACAACAUGUUCUCAGACUGUCUAGUCUGCACCACCACACUGGACCACCACCAAAACAAAACUGAACUCAGCUCACACCAUCCAUCUUUGUAAAGAUUAUAUUUUAUAGUAUAGUUCCAUAUUAUUUAUAGUUAAAGAAUUAGUUUUGCAGUAAUAAUAGUAAUGAAAGAAUCACAAUAACUGCCAAUUAUAAUAAAAUAAUUAUUUAAUAAAGCAUAUU